Molecule: long non-coding RNA, 807 nt
Organism: Hirundo rustica (Barn swallow)
Lineage: Eukaryota; Metazoa; Chordata; Aves; Passeriformes; Hirundinidae
Exons: 4
Source: RefSeq, a predicted model, not a curated record
CUUAGGUAUCCUGUCUUUACCCCAUGGAUUAUCAUGUUCAUCCUUACUGAAAAUCAGGAGUUAGAAGCAGAGCCCUUCCACUGGCCUCAGGAGGCAGUUGAUCAGGAUCUGAGUGAUAACAGAUGGAAACAAAUGCCACAUUCUUAUUAAACAACAUGCUUGCCUUUAAUCUACCAGAUACUAUUAGACCAUUGUCACAAAAAGUCCAGAGACAGUUAUACAAGGUCCUGGCUUAUGACAGACUGAGUCAAAUCUGAUGGUGCUGCAGGGGUGAAUGACACCAAACCAGGGCCUGCAAGUUUGCUGUGUGACCUACAGCUUAGCUGGGAGGUUAUCAGUAACCCAAAGCUACUGGGAAUGCUGACCAGCCCUGGAAAGUUUGGUCAGUAGAGCCACAUCAAGCCAUUUGGACUGAUCUAAGGACACUAAAAGCUGAAAGAUGAGUUUCAUCCUGGCUUGCACUAACAAGUAUCUGCACAAAACUGAUUAGUCAUGAUCCAUACACUUCUGGGUCCCUCUCCUUGGCUGCUUCCAUGCACAUCUAAGGAUGCUGUUGUUACAGAGAUCCAGAGCUUUUGCUGUUUCACGCCCUCCUUUUCUUUGCACUGUCAUUGUGGGGAAGGGGAGGGGCUAGCUGAUGCAAAUCUCAUUUCCUGGUGUUUAUGGGUCUGGGUGUCUCUACAACCUAUUUUUAAAGAUGCAGGAGGAGAAUAAAUAUGGAGAGCUGUGUAAAUAACAGUCAAUUUCUGGAACUCUGGAACACCCAGACUUCCACUUUUUUUUUUUUUUUUGGACAGUUGUCUGGUG